CCUACGGGAGGCAGCAGUGAGGAAUAUUGGUCAAUGGCCGAGAGGCUGAACCAGCCAAGUCGCGUGAGGGAAGACGGCCCUACGGGUUGUAAACCUCUUUUGUCGGGGAGCAAAGCGAACCACGUGUGGCUCAUUGAGAGUACCCGAAGAAAAAGCAUCGGCUAACUCCGUGCCAGCAGCCGCGGUAAUACGGAGGAUGCGAGCGUUAUCCGGAUUUAUUGGGUUUAAAGGGUGCGCAGGCGGAGGUGCAAGUCAGCGGUCAAAUUGCGGGGCUCAACCCCGUACUGCCGUUGAAACUGCAUGCCUUGAGUGCGCGAGAGGUAGGCGGAAUGCGUGGUGUAGCGGUGAAAUGCAUAGAUAUCACGCAGAACUCCGAUUGCGAAGGCAGCAUACCGGCGCGCAACUGACGCUCAUGCACGAAAGCGUGGGUAUCGAACAGGAUUAGAUACCCCUGUAGUC
Molecule: ribosomal RNA, 459 nt
Filed under: uncultured bacterium
Lineage: Bacteria
Description: partial 16S ribosomal RNA
Rfam family: Bacterial small subunit ribosomal RNA
Source: RNAcentral